AGCAGUCGCCACGGUAAUACGAGGGGGGCAAGCGUUGUUCGGAAUUAUUGGGCGUAAAGGGUGCGUAGGCGGCUUGACAAGUCUUGUGUGAAAUCUAUGGGCUCAACCCAUAGUCUGCGCGGGAAACUGUCGGGCUUGAGAAUGGGAGAGGUGAGUGGAAUUUCCGGUGUAGCGGUGAAAUGCGUAGAUAUCGGAAGGAACACCUGUGGCGAAAGCGGCUCACUGGACCAUUUCUGACGCUGAUGCACGAAAGCUAGGGGAGCAAACAGGAUUAGAUACCCCCGUAGUCCCUGUCUCUUAUAC
RNAcentral lists this ribosomal RNA (303 nucleotides) under uncultured bacterium. RNAcentral's name for it is "partial 16S ribosomal RNA". It matches the Rfam family "Bacterial small subunit ribosomal RNA", at positions 507 to 807 of the family's 1533-position model. The record is from RNAcentral.